This is an RNA transcript of Nycticebus coucang (slow loris), 1117 nucleotides long. It is a transcript of the gene named mitochondrial ribosome-associated GTPase 1-like, with no coding region annotated. The record is from RefSeq and is a predicted model, not a curated record. Lineage: Eukaryota; Metazoa; Chordata; Mammalia; Primates; Lorisidae. The transcript has a single exon.
AGGGGGAAUCACAGCAUUAGGCAAUAUCCUGUUAGUAUGGUGUAUGGUUUACCUGGACAUAUUUCAAUAUAUUUAAAGUCUGCAUUAUUCAAACACCACAAACUUGGGGGACUGCUUCCGGGGACAGUGGCGUCGGCGCCAACAGGCUGACACUGCGCUUGCUGUGCAGGGCCGCCUGCAAAGCCUGGCGGGAGAGCUUUCCCCGGAGCGGGCGUGAUGUGGCUCGCUGGUUCUGGGCCACAUGGCCAAGGGGCUGAAGAAGAUGCAGAACAGCCUGAAGUGGAUAGACUAUGUUGUUGAGGUCCACGAUGCCCAGAUCCCACUUUCAGGACACAGCCCUCUGUUUCAGGAAACCCUUAGGAUUAAGCCUCACCUGCUGGUCCUCAACAAAAUGGACUUGGCGGAUCUUACAGAGAAGCAGAAAAUUAAGCAGCACUUAGAAGGAGAAGGCCUAAAAAAUGUCAUUUUCACUAACUGUGUAAAGGAUGAAAACGUCAAGCAGGUCAUCCCCAUGGUCACUAAGCUGAUUGGGAGCAGCUGCCAGUACCAGCGAGGAGAGAACAUGACUACUGCAUCAUGGUGACCGGAGUCCUCAACCGGGGCAAGUCCUCCCUUAUCAGCUCCCUCAGGAGGCAGCAUCUCAGGAAAGGGAAAGCUACCAGGGUGGGUGCUGAGCCUGGGAUCUCACCAGAGCUGUGAUGUCCAGAAUUCAGGUCUGUGAACAGCCACUCAUGUUCCUCCUGGACGCUCCUGGUGUGCUGUUUCCUCAGAUAGAAAGUGUGGGACGGUGCUGGACCACCUAGUUGGGGAGGAGACCAUGGCCGACUACCUGCUGUACACACUCAAUAAGCACCAGCUCUUCAGGUAUGUGCAACACUACAGCCUGGGUGGUGCUUGUGACAACAUAGAGCAUGUGCUAAAGAGCGUGGCUGUGAAGCUACGAAAGACGCAGAAGGUGAAGGUGCUCACGGGCACAGGUGAUGUGAACAUCGUUCAGCCCAACUACCCUACGGCAGCCUAAGAGUUCCUCCAGACUUUCCGUAGGGGCCAGCUGGGCCCGGUGAUGCUGGACCUUGAUGUCUUGCAGGGCCACCCCCCUGCAGAGGCAGACCCUUGA